CAGUCGAGCGGUAACAUUUCAAAAGCUUGCUUUUGAAGAUGACGAGCGGCGGACGGGUGAGUAAUGCCUGGGAAUUUGCCCAUUUGUGGGGGAUAACAGUUGGAAACGACUGCUAAUACCGCAUACGCCCUACGGGGGAAAGCAGGGGACCUUCGGGCCUUGCGCUGAUGGAUAAGCCCAGGUGGGAUUAGCUAGUAGGUGAGGUAAAGGCUCACCUAGGCGACGAUCCCUAGCUGGUCUGAGAGGAUGAUCAGCCACACUGGGACUGAGACACGGCCCAGACUCCUACGGGAGGCAGCAGUGGGGAAUAUUGCACAAUGGGGGAAACCCUGAUGCAGCCAUGCCGCGUGUGUGAAGAAGGCCUUCGGGUUGUAAAGCACUUUCAGCGAGGAGGAAAGGGUGUAAGUUAAUACCUUACAUCUGUGACGUUACUCGCAGAAGAAGCACCGGCUAACUCCGUGCCAGCAG
Molecule: ribosomal RNA, 468 nt
Filed under: bacterium 1611-S2-05-1.1
Lineage: Bacteria
Description: bacterial SSU rRNA
Rfam family: Bacterial small subunit ribosomal RNA
Source: RNAcentral